CCUACGGGGGGCUGCAGUGGGGAAUAUUGCACAAUGGGGGAAACCCUGAUGCAGCGACGCCGCGUGGGUGAAGAAGUACUUCGUUAUGUAAAGCUCUAUCAGCAGGGAAGAAAAUGACGGUACCUGAGUAAGAAACCCCGGCUAACUUCGUUCCAGCCGCCGCGGUUAUACGUAUGGGGCAAGCGUUAUCCGGAUUUCCUGGGUGUAACGGGGGCGUAGACGGCAGUGCAAGUCUGGAGUGAAAGGCGGGGGCUCAACCCCCGGACUGCUCUGGAAACUGUACGGCUGGAGUGCGGGAGAGGUAAGUGGAAUUCCUAGUGUAGCGGUGAAAUGCGUAGAUAUUAGGAGGAACACCAGUGGCGAAGGCGGCUUGCUGGACUGUAACUGACGUUGAGGCUCGAAAGCGUGGGGAGCAAACAGGAUUAGAUACCCUUGUAGUC
This 440-nucleotide ribosomal RNA is filed under the name uncultured bacterium. RNAcentral's name for it is "partial 16S ribosomal RNA". It matches the Rfam family "Bacterial small subunit ribosomal RNA", at positions 338 to 795 of the family's 1533-position model. The record is from RNAcentral.